UACGUAGGUCCCGAGCGUUGUCCGGAUUUAUUGGGCGUAAAGCGAGCGCAGGUGGUUUAUUAAGUCUGGUGUAAAAGGCAGUGGCUCAACCAUUGUAUGCAUUGGAAACUGGGAGACUUGAGUGCAGAAGAGGAGAGUGGAAUUCCAUGUGUAGCGGUGAAAUGCGUAGAUAUAUGGAGGAACACCGGUGGCGAAAGCGGCUCUCUGGCCUGUAACUGACACUGAGGCUCGAAAGCGUGGGGAGCAAACAGG
RNAcentral lists this ribosomal RNA (252 nucleotides) under uncultured bacterium. RNAcentral describes it as "partial 16S ribosomal RNA". It matches the Rfam family "Bacterial small subunit ribosomal RNA", at positions 524 to 776 of the family's 1533-position model. The record is from RNAcentral.